RNAcentral lists this long non-coding RNA (361 nucleotides) under Oryzias javanicus (javanese ricefish). RNAcentral's name for it is "lncRNA (ENSOJAG00000016298.1)". The record is from RNAcentral. Lineage: Eukaryota; Metazoa; Chordata; Actinopteri; Beloniformes; Adrianichthyidae.
UUGGGGGAGAAAAGGCUCUGACUGGAGCUCCAGUGGGGCAGGUCUUCUUGGGGAAAUGAUAUCCAUCAAAAUACUGCGUCCCUUGAAUCGACAUUACAAACUGUUCAGAAACUGUAAAGGAGGUGGAUUAAAGGAUCUUAAAGAAACGGUGGACUCACCUGGAUUUAUUACAGCCUCGGUGAAAUGAAAGUUGCUAAUAAAGAACCAAGUUCUAGACUGACGGGAGUCUGGACGCCCGAGUGAUUCGCUGUCUCCUCCAGAGGUACAAGUUUAGCUUUAGCAGCUGAAAGACAUAUUUCUGACACUCUGCAGAAACACUUUCCUAGAAAAAAAACACAAGAUUUUAGAUUUUUCCAAAAAA